This is a long non-coding RNA of Drosophila bipectinata, 488 nucleotides long. RefSeq lists it as uncharacterized. Lineage: Eukaryota; Metazoa; Arthropoda; Insecta; Diptera; Drosophilidae. The record is from RefSeq and is a predicted model, not a curated record.
UACACGCGUUUGUUUGUUGCGUUUGAAGUGAAAUUUUUUAAAACACAUUUAAGUGACCAAAUAACUAAUUCUGAUCAAAUAUGGAGCCUAGUAAGAAAAUUUUAAAGAUGGCGUUUAAUGUCGAUGACGAUGACCUAACUGCGGAGACGCAAAUGGACGAAGUCGAGGUAGUCACGGUGGCCGAUUUGGGGGAGUAAAAAAUUGAUCGCCUGGAGAGGAAAAUUGAUGAGCAGACGAGGAAAAUUGGUGAGCAGGCGAGGGAAAUCGCCGCAUGUACCAACCAACUGGCAAAGUUGACAGCAUUGCUGGAGGUUUCUCUUAAGGAAAAGGCCACCAGCAAUGCUGUCAAUAUGGAAUUCCCACAGAUGAGGCAUUGGCAGCCUUAGAUUUCGCUUAGGCCGUGGCAUGAAGGAAGAAUGUACCACCGCAGUGACCAAUUUAUUAAAGCGCGGACCAUUAAGAAAAUCAUUGAAAUACGUUAUCGUUGA